CAGGCCUAACACAUGCAAGUCGGACGGCAGCAGGUCCUUCGGGAUGCUGGCGAGUGGCGGACGGGUGAGUAAUGCGUAGGAACCUAUCCUUUUGUGGGGGACAACCCAGGGAAACUUGGGCUAAUACCGCAUAAGCCCUGAGGGGGAAAGCGGGGGAUCUUCGGACCUCGUGCUGAAGGAGGGGCCUACGUCCGAUUAGCUAGUUGGUGGGGUAAAGGCCUACCAAGGCGACGAUCGGUAGCUGGUCUGAGAGGACGACCAGCCACACUGGGACUGAGACACGGCCCAGACUCCUACGGGAGGCAGCAGUGAGGAAUAUUGCGCAAUGGGGGCAACCCUGACGCAGCAACGCCGCGUGUGGGAAGAAGGCUUUCGGGUUGUAAACCACUUUUGCCCGGGACGAAAGGGGGGGCCUGAAUAAGGUCACCCGAUGACGGUACCGGGAGAAUAAGCCACGGCUAACUCUGUGCCAGCAGCCGCGGUAAGACAGAGGUGGCAAGCGUUGUUCGGAGUUACUGGGCGUAAAGAGUCUGUAGGUGGUCUGUCAAGUCUUUGGUGAAAGGCCGUGGCUUAACCAUGGGAAUGCCAAAGAGACUGGCAGACUGGAGGCUGGGAGAGGGAAGCGGAAUUUCUGGUGUAGCGGUGAAAUGCGUAGAUAUCAGAAGGAAGGCCCGGUGGCGAAGGCGGCUUCCUGGAACAGACCUGACACUGAGAGACGAAAGCGUGGGGGAGCAAACAGGAUUAGAUACCCUGGUAGUCCACGCCCUAAACGAUGGGUACUAAGUGUGGGAGGGUUAAACCUCCCGUGCCGCAGCCAACGCAGUAAGUACCCCGCCUGGGGAGUACGGCCGCAAGGUUGAAACUCAAAGGAAUUGACGGGGGCCCGCACAAGCGGUGGUGCAUGUGGUUUAAUUCGACGCAACGCGAAGAACCUUACCUGGGCUUGACAUGCCGCGAGUAGGGAACCGAAAGGGGACCGACCGGUUCAGUCCGGAAGCGGAACAGGUGCUGCAUGGCUGUCGUCAGCUCGUGCCGUGAGGUGUUGGGUUCAGUCCCGCAACGAGCGCAACCCUCGCCCUCUGUUGCCACCGGGUCAUGCCGGGCACUCUGAGGGGACUGCCAGCGACAAGUUGGAGGAAGGAGAGGAUGACGUCAAGUCAUCAUGGCCCUUAUGCCCAGGGCCACACACGUGCAACAAUGGCCGGUACAGACGGAAGCAAGACCGAGAGGUGGAGCAAAUCCGAGAAAGCCGGUCCCAGUUCGGAUUGAGGUCUGCAACUCGACCUCAUGAAGUCGGAAUCGCUAGUAAUCGCGUAUCAGCACGACGCGGUGAAUACGUUCCCGGGCCUUGUACAC
RNAcentral lists this ribosomal RNA (1356 nucleotides) under uncultured bacterium. Its description in RNAcentral is "bacterial SSU rRNA". It matches the Rfam family "Bacterial small subunit ribosomal RNA", at positions 43 to 1388 of the family's 1533-position model. The record is from RNAcentral.